RNAcentral lists this ribosomal RNA (733 nucleotides) under uncultured bacterium. RNAcentral's name for it is "bacterial SSU rRNA". It matches the Rfam family "Bacterial small subunit ribosomal RNA", at positions 771 to 1501 of the family's 1533-position model. The record is from RNAcentral.
AACAGGAUUAGAUACCCUGGUAGUCCACGCCGUAAACGGUGGGUGCUAGGUGUGAGCGGUAUUCCACGCCGUUCGUGCCGCAGCUAACGCAUUAAGCACCCCGCCUGGGGAGUACGGCCGCAAGGCUAAAACUCAAAGGAAUUGACGGGGGCCCGCACAAGCAGCGGAGCAUGUGGCUUAAUUCGACGCAACGCGAAGAACCUUACCAAGGCUUGACAUGCAGGGAAAUCCUCCAGAGAUGGGGGGUCCGCAAGGGUCCUGCACAGGUGGUGCAUGGUUGUCGUCAGCUCGUGUCGUGAGAUGUUGGGUUAAGUCCCGCAACGAGCGCAACCCUCGUUCUAUGUUGCCAGCGCGUGAUGGCGGGGACUCAUAGGAGACUGCCGGGGUCAACUCGGAGGAAGGUGGGGAUGACGUCAAAUCAUCAUGCCCCUUAUGUCUUGGGCUGCACACAUGCUACAAUGGCCGGUACAAAGGGCUGCUAAACCGUGAGGUGGAGCGAAUCCCAAAAAGCCGGUCUCAGUUCGGAUUGGGGUCUGCAACUCGACCCCAUGAAGUCGGAGUUGCUAGUAAUCGCAGAUCAGCAACGCUGCGGUGAAUACGUUCCCGGGCCUUGUACACACCGCCCGUCACGUCACGAAAGUCGGUAACACCCGAAGCCAGUGGCCCAACCCGCAAGGGGGGGAGCUGUCGAAGGUGGGAUCGGCGAUUGGGACGAAGUCGUAACAAGGUAACC